RNAcentral lists this transfer RNA (85 nucleotides) under Lachnospiraceae bacterium. RNAcentral's name for it is "tRNA-Leu". It matches the Rfam family "tRNA". From Rfam's summary of the family: Transfer RNA (tRNA) molecules are approximately 80 nucleotides in length. Their secondary structure includes four short double-helical elements and three loops (D, anti-codon, and T loops). The record is from RNAcentral. Lineage: Bacteria; Bacillati; Bacillota; Clostridia; Lachnospirales; Lachnospiraceae. RNAcentral also lists the same sequence under 1 other name.
GCAGGAAUGGCGGAAUUGGCAGACGCGCAAGCUUCAGGUGCUUGUGGCUAUUGCAGUCGUGAGGGUUCAAGUCCCUUUUCCUGCA